GUCUCGGUCGAGCGGUAAGAGCGCUUGCCUCUUGUCCUGGAGUUCCGGGUUCGAUCCCCGGUCGAGCAGUA
Non-coding RNA from Rhamnusium bicolor, 71 nucleotides. The record is from the annotation of a GenBank genome assembly. Lineage: Eukaryota; Metazoa; Arthropoda; Insecta; Coleoptera; Cerambycidae.